RNAcentral lists this ribosomal RNA (301 nucleotides) under uncultured bacterium. RNAcentral's name for it is "partial 16S ribosomal RNA". It matches the Rfam family "Bacterial small subunit ribosomal RNA", at positions 509 to 807 of the family's 1533-position model. The record is from RNAcentral.
CAGCAGCCGCGGGAAAACAGAGGGUGCAAGCGUUAAUCGGAAUUACUGGGCGUAAAGCGCGCGUAGGUGGUUUGUUAAGUUGGAUGUGAAAUCCCCGGGCUCAACCUGGGAACUGCAUCCAAAACUGGCAGGCUAGAGUAGGGCAGAGGGUGGUGGAAUUUCCUGUGUAGCGGUGAAAUGCGUAGAUAUAGGAAGGAACACCAGUGGCGAAGGCGACCACCUGGGCUCAUACUGACACUGAGGUGCGAAAGCGUGGGGAGCAAACAGGAUUAGAGACCCCCGUAGUCCCUGUCUCUUAUAC